RNAcentral lists this ribosomal RNA (492 nucleotides) under uncultured bacterium. RNAcentral describes it as "partial 16S ribosomal RNA". It matches the Rfam family "Bacterial small subunit ribosomal RNA", at positions 29 to 507 of the family's 1533-position model. The record is from RNAcentral.
AGUGAACGCUGGCGGUAGGCCUAACACAUGCAAGUCGAACGGCAGCACAGUAAGAGCUUGCUCUUACGGGUGGCGAGUGGCGGACGGGUGAGGAAUACAUCGGAAUCUACUUUUUCGUGGGGGAUAACGUAGGGAAACUUACGCUAAUACCGCAUACGACCUACGUGUGAAAGCAGAGGAUCUUCGGACCUUGCGCGAUUGAAUGAGCCGAUGUCGGAUUAGCUAGUUGGCGGGGUAAAGGCACACCAAGGCGACGAUCCGUAGCUGGUCUGAGAGGAUGAUCCGCCACACUGGAACUGAGACGCGGUCCAGACUCCUACGGGAGGCAGCAGUGGGGAAUAUUCGACAAUGGGCGCAAGCCUGCUCCAGCCAUGCCGCGUGGGUGAAGAAGGCCUUCGGGUUGUAAAGCCCUUUUGUCGGGAAAGAAAAUCAGCAGGUUAAUCCCCCGCUGUUCUGACGGUACCCAAAGAAUAAGCACCGGCUAACUUCGUG